RNAcentral lists this ribosomal RNA (475 nucleotides) under uncultured bacterium. RNAcentral's name for it is "bacterial SSU rRNA". It matches the Rfam family "Bacterial small subunit ribosomal RNA", at positions 28 to 534 of the family's 1533-position model. The record is from RNAcentral.
GAUGAACGCUGGCGGCGUGCUUAACACAUGCAAGUCGAACGAUCGCAAGAUAGUGGCGCACGGGUGAGGAACACGUAGCUAACCUGCCUUUGGGUCUGGGAUAACGUCGCGAAAGUGACGCUAAGACCGGAUAAGCUCCCGGGUUGUAGAGACCCGAGAGAAAAGGGGCAAGACGCCUGAAGAGGGGGCUGCGGCGCAUCAGCUAGUUGGUGGGGUAAAGGCCUACCAAGGCAACGACGCGUAAGGGGUCUGAGAGGAUGAUCCCUCACACUGGGACUGAGACACGGCCCAGACUCCUACGGGAGGCAGCAGUGAGGAAUAUUGCACAAUGGGGGCAACCCUGAUGCAGCGACGCCGCGUGGGUGAUGACGGCCUUCGGUUGUAAGCCUUUGUCCACUGACGAGAACGGACGGUAGGUGGCGAAUAAGACCUCGGCGUAACUACGUGCCAGCAGCCGCGGUAAGUCUGUAGUCGU